Molecule: ribosomal RNA, 224 nt
Filed under: uncultured bacterium
Lineage: Bacteria
Description: partial 16S ribosomal RNA
Rfam family: Bacterial small subunit ribosomal RNA
Source: RNAcentral
UGAGUAAUACAUCGGAACGUGUCUUCUAGUGGGGGAUAACUGCCCGAAAGGGCAGCUAAUACCGCAUGAGACCUGAGGGUGAAAGCGGGGGAUCGUAAGACCUCGCGCUGGAAGAGCGGCCGAUGUCCGAUUAGCUAGUUGGUGAGGUAAAGGCUCACCAAGGCGACGAUCGGUAGCUGGUCUGAGAGGACGACCAGCCACGCUGGGACUGAGACACGGCCCAG